Molecule: long non-coding RNA, 1268 nt
Filed under: Piliocolobus tephrosceles (Ugandan red Colobus)
Lineage: Eukaryota; Metazoa; Chordata; Mammalia; Primates; Cercopithecidae
Description: lncRNA (ENSPTEG00000002630.1)
Source: RNAcentral
CUCAUAUAUUUAUCUUCCCACAGUUUUCUGCCUUUGUGUCUUAGUCUGUUUCCUGUUGCUAUAACAGAAGCUGCAGAUUGCAUAAUUUAUAAAGAAAAGAGAUUUAUUUGGCUCAUAGUUCUGGAGGCUGGGAAGCCCAAGGGAAUGGCACCUGCAUCUGUCAAUACUCAUUCCAUGGUUAAAGAGAGGAAGGUGGAAGUGAGUCCAUGAAACAGACAGAGAGGAAAUCUGGCCAAACUCAUCCUUUUUAUCAGGAACCCACUCUCAAUAACUAACCUACUCUUGUGAUAACAGCAUUAAUCCAUUCAUGAGGGCCGAACUUUCAUGACUUAAUCACUUCUUAAAAGCUCCACAUCCUGCAAUAAAUUAUUUUUAGAGAUGGGGUCUUAUUAUGUUGCCUAGGCUGCUCUUGAACUCCUGGGCUCAAGUGAUCCUCCCACCUCAGCCUCUCAAAGUGCUGGGAUUACAGGCAUGAGCCACCAUGCCUGGCCCUGCAAUAAAUUUCAACAUGAAUCUUGGAAAGGACAUUGAAACCACAGCACGUUGGAAUCCCGAAAUUCUUUCCUUUGUCUCACCACUUCUCUACAAAUGUAUUGUUCUUUGUUAAGAUGUUAUAUAAGCCCCAACCUCUAACCAUCCCUUUGACUUGCUCAUCACUGAGUUCCUUCUGUGAGGAUGUGCAUUGCACAUGUUAAUAAACUCUGUUUUUCUCCUGUUUUUUAGACCGUCUUUUGUCAGUCUCAUUUGCAGGCCCCCAGCUGGAGAACCCAGGAGGAAGAGGAAAAAAGUUUUUUCCUCCUCUACACUCCCCAUGCAUGACUAUAGAGUGAGGAGGAGGCAGCAAGCUAUGUAACUGCAACUGCAGAGCAGAAACAGCAAUGAAAGGACUGAUGAUCCAACAAGGACCAAGCAACAUUUCUGCAGCUAUGCAAACCAUGCAUCUGGCUCCCCUCCCACCUUCUCACCUUGGAACACCAUCAGCUGUGGGCAUCUACGUGCAGCAGGAAGCAUCACUGAGUAAGCUGAACUACACGUCAAGGGUAGACACUGCACUGUCCAUCUAGCCUGCUCUGAACUGGCCCUGGGAAGGCGUGUCUGGAGAAGCUGUGUUGGAAGGAUUAGAAUAAUACACAUCUACACACGUACCCACUCUGCAUGGGCUGCCUGAGAAAACUGCGUACCAGAUUGUGUUAAGAGUUGGAGAGUACAGAUGCAGGUUUUAAGAGCCUGUUUUUCUGUGCCCUCUUCAGGAAGAUUUAAGUGGAUCC